This 624-nucleotide long non-coding RNA is filed under the name Homo sapiens (human). RNAcentral describes it as "HSALNT0054734". Lineage: Eukaryota; Metazoa; Chordata; Mammalia; Primates; Hominidae. The record is from RNAcentral.
AGGCUCUAAGCAGUGGGAGGAGUGGCAGCUGCCAGCAUGUACUCACUCAGGCGCCCGGCCACCACGAUCUCAGAGCCAUCGUAGAAGUGCUGGGGAGUUGGACACAGACAUCCAGAGGGAAGACAUGUGCAGACACAGGGAGAAGACAGCCAUUGAUAAGCCAUGGAGAAAAGGAAAGAGGCCUAGAAAGAUCUGCCCUCAUAGCCCUCAGAAGGAACCAACCCACCGCCACAUGGAUCUGGGAUGUCCGGGCUCUGGAACUGGGAGACAAUACGUUUCUCUCAUUGAAGCCACUUGGUACUUUGGUAUGGCAGCCGCCAUACACUAAUACAAUGUCCUGUGCAAUAUUUGGGGCAUACUUACACUACAAAAAUUCAUUAUUUAUCAGAAAUUCAUAUUGAACCAGAUGUCCUGUGUUUGCUCUGAUAAUCCUGUUGAAGAAACGGGCCUGUUGUGUAGCCCAAGGACAAAAUCAGAAUCUUUACUGAUGGGUAAGAGAUAGUCAGAGGUGGAUUUUGACCCAAGACGAAGCUCUUCCUAAUAACUAGAACUGUCACCUUAUGGAGCAGCUGUCUGAGGAAGUAGUGAGCUCCUUAUGCCCGGAAGUGUGCAAGACAAGGCAUA